CAGCCGCCGCGGUAAAACCAGCACCUCAAGUGGUCAGGAUGAUUAUUGGGCCUAAAGCAUCCGUAGCCGGCUCUGCAAGUUUUCGGUUAAAUCUGUACGCUCGACGUACAGGCUGCCGGGAAUACUGCAGAGCUAGGGAGUGGGAGAGGUAGACGGUACUCGAUAGGAAGGGGUAAAAUCCUUUGAUCUAUUGAUGACCACCUGUGGCGGAGGCGGUCUACCAGAACACGUCCGACGGUGAGGGAUGAAAGCUGGGGGAGCAAACCGGAUUAGAUACCCGGGUAGUCCCAGCUGUAAACUAUGCAAACUCAGUGAUGCAUUGGCUUGUGGCCAAUGCAGCGCUGCAGGGAAGCCGUUAAGUUUGCCGCCUGGGAAGUACGUACGCAAGUAUGAAACUUAAAGGAAUUGGCGGGGGAGCAC
Molecule: ribosomal RNA, 420 nt
Filed under: uncultured Nitrososphaerota archaeon
Lineage: Archaea; Thermoproteati; Nitrososphaerota
Description: bacterial SSU rRNA
Rfam family: Archaeal small subunit ribosomal RNA
Source: RNAcentral